AUACGGAGGAUCCAAGCGUUAUCCGGAAUCAUAGGGUUUAAAGGGUCCGUAGGCGGGUUUGUAAGUCAGUGGUGAAAGUUUUCGGCUCAACCGGAAAAUUGCCAUUGAUACUGCAAGUCUUGAAUCAUUAUGAAGUGGUUAGAAUGUGUAGUGUAGCGGUGAAAUGCAUAGAUAUUACAUAGAAUACCGAUUGCGAAGGCAGAUCACUAAUAAUGUAUUGACGCUAAGGGACGAAAGCGUGGGUAGCGAACAGGAUUAGAAACCCUAGUAGUCC
RNAcentral lists this ribosomal RNA (274 nucleotides) under uncultured bacterium. Its description in RNAcentral is "partial 16S ribosomal RNA". It matches the Rfam family "Bacterial small subunit ribosomal RNA", at positions 523 to 796 of the family's 1533-position model. The record is from RNAcentral.